RNAcentral lists this unclassified non-coding RNA (342 nucleotides) under uncultured bacterium. RNAcentral's name for it is "contains 16S-23S intergenic spacer region". The record is from RNAcentral.
CCAACAGUCACGCUCCAAAUUUAAACGCGCGCUGUGGCCUCGAAGACACACGCAUUCUCUGACGCGGCCGUUCACCGGCGACGCGCCCGAACCGAUUGAGAUGAUUCCAUCCCCUGAAUGCCUGAGAGGCGCAGCGUUGCGAUGAGUGCGUUGCGGAGGCGUCACUCGUGAGUGGCAUUGAAUCUCCUAGGGCGCUAUUAUCGUCGGAGCUAGCCAGAGGAAGUGGCCUCCUCGGCUAGAAGGCCCGGGCGCAAGGUCCGCCACUAUUCCGAUGCGUGCCGGGCCACUCAUGCCGCCUUCGCAAGGUCGACUUCGCCCAGCCUUCCUCACCGAAGGCCUCUC